GCUGGGGGAUUAGUGGCGAACGGGUGAGUAACACGUGAGUAACCUGCCCUUAACUCUGGGAUAAGCCUGGGAAACUGGGUCUAAUACCGGAUAUGACUCCUCAUCGCAUGGUGGGGGGUGGAAAGCUUUUUGUGGUUUUGGAUGGACUCGCGGCCUAUCAGCUUGUUGGUGAGGUAAUGGCUCACCAAGGCGACGACGGGUAGCCGGCCUGAGAGGGUGACCGGCCACACUGGGACUGAGACACGGCCCAGACUCCUACGGGAGGCAGCAGUGGGGAAUAUUGCACAAUGGGCGAAAGCCUGAUGCAGCGACGCCGCGUGAGGGAUGACGGCCUUCGGGUUGUAAACCUCUUUCAGUAGGGAAGAAGCGAAAGUGACGGUACCUGCAGAAGAAGCGCCGGCUAACUACGUGCCAGCAGCCGCGGUAAUACGUAGGGCGCAAGCGUUAUCCGGAAUUAUUGGGCGUAAAGAGCUCGUAGGCGGUUUGUCGCGUCUGCCGUGAAAGUCCGGGGCUCAACUCCGGAUCUGCGGUGGGUACGGGCAGACUAGAGU
RNAcentral lists this ribosomal RNA (551 nucleotides) under Arthrobacter oryzae. RNAcentral's name for it is "bacterial SSU rRNA". It matches the Rfam family "Bacterial small subunit ribosomal RNA", at positions 83 to 647 of the family's 1533-position model. The record is from RNAcentral. Lineage: Bacteria; Bacillati; Actinomycetota; Actinomycetes; Micrococcales; Micrococcaceae.